AUUUAUCUACAACUGAGAAAACGCCAAAUAUUUAAAAAAAAAUUGUUUACGGCGAUUAAAAGAGGGACGAGGAUACCAAAGGGACAGUCAAACUCAUAAAUCGAAAAUAAACUGACAACGUCUGGCUAAAAAUGAAAAAAAACAAACAGACAAACAAUAAAACACAUGACACAACAUAGAAAACUAAAGAAUAAGCAACACAAACC
Molecule: long non-coding RNA, 206 nt
Filed under: Mytilus galloprovincialis (Mediterranean mussel)
Lineage: Eukaryota; Metazoa; Mollusca; Bivalvia; Mytilida; Mytilidae
Source: RNAcentral